UGUUUCUCUUUUAAAAGGUAUCCAGUGUAAGGUGCAGCUGGUGGAGUCUGGGGGAGACCUGGUGAAGCCUGGGGGGUCCCUGAGAUUCUCCUUUGCAGCCUCUGGAUUCACCUUCAAUAACUAGGGCAUGCACUG
Molecule: long non-coding RNA, 135 nt
Organism: Lontra canadensis (Northern American river otter)
Lineage: Eukaryota; Metazoa; Chordata; Mammalia; Carnivora; Mustelidae
Exons: 4
Source: RefSeq, a predicted model, not a curated record